AUGCUUUCGGCCCCUCUUCUUUUCACCCUCCUCACCUACUGCUCAGGUGCCUUCGCCCAGUAUCUCCUGACCCAGCCGCCCUCUGUGUCUGGGUCCCUGGGGCAAAAUGCAAGAGUCACUUGUGCCGGAAACAACAUUGGAGGAAAGAAGGUUCGGUGGUACCAGCAGAAGCCUGGGAGUCCCCCUGUCCUGAUUAUAUAUGCCGAUAGCCAGAGAUAGCCCCACCGGGACCUCAGACCGAUUCUCUGGCACCAACUCUGGCAACACGGCCACCCUCAGCUUCUCAGCAGUGUUUUCAAAGCAAGCUUAA
Non-coding RNA from Candoia aspera, 310 nucleotides. Lineage: Eukaryota; Metazoa; Chordata; Lepidosauria; Squamata; Candoiidae. The record is from the annotation of a RefSeq genome assembly.